RNAcentral lists this ribosomal RNA (253 nucleotides) under uncultured bacterium. RNAcentral describes it as "partial 16S ribosomal RNA". It matches the Rfam family "Bacterial small subunit ribosomal RNA", at positions 524 to 776 of the family's 1533-position model. The record is from RNAcentral.
UACGUAGGGUGCAAGCGUUGUCCGGAAUUAUUGGGCGUAAAGAGCUCGUAGGCGGUUUGUCGCGUCUGCUGUGAAAACUCGGGGCUUAACCCCGGGCCUGCAGUGGGUACGGGCAGACUAGAGUGCGGUAGGGGAGACUGGAAUUCCUGGUGUAGCGGUGAAAUGCGCAGAUAUCAGGAGGAACACCGGUGGCGAAGGCGGGUCUCUGGGCCGACACUGACGCUGAGGCGCGAAAGCUAGGGUAGCAAACGGG